Molecule: long non-coding RNA, 2097 nt
Organism: Equus asinus (donkey)
Lineage: Eukaryota; Metazoa; Chordata; Mammalia; Perissodactyla; Equidae
Source: Ensembl
CAACAGUUUUGUGUGUGUGUGUGUGUGUGAGCAUGUGUGAGCACACAUAUGCCAAAGGCAACAUUCUAAUGGGCCUGGAAGACCCCAUGAAUGUUGAAAACACUCACAGUGCUGAGCCGGCAGGUGCACUUCUAGGAGACCGUCCUGGGAUUCCCCACAGCACUGUGAGCGUUAGCCGGGGCUGGAACCGGUGGGAAAGUGCACACGCAGCAUGCCAUGUGGCCAUCCGAAAGAUGCACCGGGUUGUCUGGGUGAUGAGGGAUGGUGUCCAAACGUGCACCGAGUGAGACAUCUGAAGGGAAGCCAACUCAUGAGCAAGCCUGGUGCAUUUGCCUCUGAAACUCACACCCCCAGAGUGUGUCCGCCUUCCCUGGCCGCAGCCACCCGCUGGUCUCAUCCAAGUCAGCACCAUGUCCCGCCUGGACUUUCGUGACGGCUCUUGACUGGCCUCCCUGCUGCUCCCUUUACCCACCAACACCACCACCGGCUUAUGUCUCGCCUGUGUGUCCCAUUGCACCCUCUGCUCAGCUCACAAGGCCCCACAGAUCUGCACCCACCUCUCUGAUCUCCUACCUCACCCCCGGGCCUCAGUGGAUACCUGGACCGCACUGACCUUGUUCCGGUGCCCUGGACGUGCCGCUCACUCCACCCUGGAGCUCUGCUGUGAUCCACGCCGACAUGGACAGUCACAUCAGGCUGCAAAAUCAGCUCCACAGUGGGCCCUCCUUGACCCCCGCAGCUGCUCCCUCACCUCUGUCCUAGCCCCCUUCAUUUGGCUUCCGCAGCACCAUUUUUCCCUGGCAUUUUCCUGGCUUCCCUAUUUGUUCAUUAUUUCUCUCUCCCCACUGAAAGUGAGCGCUGCUGAGGGCCAGGAUCCCUGCUGCCUUGUGCCCCGACAGGCACUUCAGGGCGGCUCAAUUAAUACCUACUGGAUUGCCUAAAGGCAGAUUGAAAACAACCAUCGUAACAACAUCAUAUCCCAUUUAUCGGGCACUUUGGAAGCGCCAAUCUUUACAUGCCUUAUCACGUUUAAUCUCUGCAACACAGACUACACGCACGCCGUUACUCAUCUCUGUUUGACAGAGGAGGAAAUCAAGGUUUAUGGUGCUGUGUGACUUGGCAAAAGUCCCCAGCCGGCAGCAGGCCGGCAGAUGUGGGAAGGCCUGCGGAGGGCGGUCUCAGGGCAGGAGUUGGACUGUGCCAAACGAAGAUCUGCCUUGUCCUUCUGGGGGAGGCAACGUUGCAGUGUUGCAGCGAGGCCCAAACCUCUGCCAUCCAGCGGCAGAACUGGCCGGGGAGGCAGGGACCGGGUGGAGAGGGCAUGGGCUGGGAAUCUGGACUCUGCGGGUGAGUCCCUGUGGAAGUCUGACUUGCUGUGUUACCUCUGGCGAGUUUCACACCCCAGGUUCCUCUGCAGAAAGCUGGGGACAUGUGCUUUGGAUGGCAAAGGCCUCUUCCAGCAACUUUUGUUUGUGUGUGUGGGAGGGAAGGAAUCCGAGCCCCGCAGAUGACAAAAUAGGAGGGCUCUGGGUGGAAACAAGACACAGGGGUCACCUGGUGUUUAGGAACUGCUUUUACAGCAUCCCAGAGAGGCAUACCUCCAACGACAGGGGGCUUACUAUCUUACAACUUAUUUGUCAGUCAGUCAUGGCCAUUUAAAGACAUUUAUGGAGACCUACGUAUUCUUUUUUUUUGGAGGCCAUACCCUACGGCAUAACAAAUAUAUUGUGAUAUAUGCACAUUCCAUAGAAGAUAUAAUUUGCAUAUAACUACUUUUGGGUUUUUUGGUGAAGGAGAUUGUCCCUGAGCUAAUAUCUCUUGCCAAUCGUCCUCUCUUUGCUUGAGGAAGAUUGUCACUGAGCUAACAUCUGUGCCAAUCUUCCUCUUUCUUAUGUGGGCUGCUGUAAGAGACGGGCUUGACAAGCGGUGCUAGGUCCGCGCCCGGGAUCCAAACCUGUGAACCCUGGGCCACUGAAGUAGAGCGUGCAAACUUAACCGCUGCGCCACCAGGCCAGCCCCACAUAUAGCUACUUAAUAUAAACUGCCACGGUCUAGCUGCCACAGUAUUACAUUUGCAGAUGUCUGAUUAAACAUUUA